UUUCUCGUGGUGUCUUGUGGGAGUGGCGGUGCGAUCCCUCUCAGACUUGUGAGUCCCUGCUGGAGUCAGAAGUUUUAGGCGAAUCCCAGGCGCGCCAAGGAAAGUGCUACAAAAGCCAUCCAUCUUGCAAGCGUUGGUGCCGAGGCGCAACGCUGAGAACGCAAAUACUAAAGGGCGCUGUUCUUUCCUCGUGGAGCUCACAGUCCGCUGGGGAGACCGUGAGAUGACAGCAGAGAAACUAGCGCGAUCAGUAGUACUCAGCGCAAGGACAGCGAGCAGAGAAGGCAAACCUAGUGCUUGCUAAGGAAGACUUCACAGAGGAGGUAGUGUCAGGGCCGAGACUAGGAGAAGGAUUCUCCAGGCUUCAUACGGUAAAACUCUCUGGGAAGGAAAGGAACUCAGAGUCCCAUGCAGAAAAUUGUUCAGCUGGAGGGGUAUCAGAAAGAUGGAUUUCCAAAGCCAACUGUUUCCUGUAGUGUGUGGAUCUCUGCAAGCAGAGCCUCAUCUUUCAAUUUCAGCUACAUGAAAGAGGAAGAAAGGGAAAGAUAUAUGUCAUACGUGAUAUACUUUAUGUGGCUUUGAAGACCCCUCUUUUGUGGGGCUACGGCUAAAGAACAUAGUUCCCUGGGAUGGAAUUGGCUCUUCCUAUUUCCCUACUUCAUGAAAACUCCAGUAGAAGACCUUAGAACCUUGUCCUGGUUACAUGGAUAUGUUUACUUUGUGAAAAUUCAUCAAGCACUAUGCACGGUCAUGAUUUGUACAUUUUUUUGUAAGAUAACUUCAUUAAAAUUUACUUUUUUUAUUUUUAAAAA
This 812-nucleotide long non-coding RNA is filed under the name Homo sapiens (human). RNAcentral's name for it is "HSALNT0358424". Lineage: Eukaryota; Metazoa; Chordata; Mammalia; Primates; Hominidae. The record is from RNAcentral.